Molecule: long non-coding RNA, 1557 nt
Filed under: Vulpes vulpes (red fox)
Lineage: Eukaryota; Metazoa; Chordata; Mammalia; Carnivora; Canidae
Description: lncRNA (ENSVVUG00000013440.1)
Source: RNAcentral
AAGAACUGUUCCUCACCUCUGAUGACUUAAGGCUCCAAGUUCUUUUUAGAAUGUUCAGAUCUUGGGAGCAGGCCAAGAUGGGUGUGUGGGUGAGGGGAGCAAGGAUGGCUAGAUGCUUGACUUCUGUUUGUGGACUUGAGACUACUCCCUGGAAAAGAGGAAACUUCCAUUUCCCUAGUGGCCUAUCACCGAGGAAACCCAUUUCUUCAUCUUCAAAUUUCAUUAGGUUCCUACUUCCAGAUUUGAAUAUGCAACUAAGUUUUGACUCAGAGAUUCAGAGAACUGAUUUAUUAUUUAUUCCUGUGAGUCAAAGGAAAUGCAAAAGAAAAAAGAAAAGAAGAAAGAAAGAAAAGCAAGCAAGGGAAAACACAAUAAAAGAAAGAAAGGGAAAAGCUGAGAGCAGGAAGACAAGAAGUAGCACUCGAUGGGGGCCCAGACUUCCUUCAGUUGACUCUAAUGGAAAUCACCACACCGCCUUUGAGGACCCCUCCUGCAACACGGGCUAAAUUGAAACCAUCCUGAACUAGGGCAGGGCAGCUGUGGAAUAUAGAUCUGAGGUGGAACAAAUGAGAGGUUGCCUCUGGCCACAAAGUUGGGUUGUGGCAGAGCUGGACGCAGGCCAGAAGCGUAAACCCGGAUGGAGCAUAAACCAGGAUCCAGAAGGAGGAGGAAAAAGGGAUUCACACUGCUUCUGCAUUUCCAUGUUUUUUUGGUGGCCUUUCUUCCCUCCUUACUUGACUUGCUUGGCUUAGAAACAUUCUCCUUGUUCCUUUCUGAUUUACUACAUUUUUCUCUAUAAACUCUGCAUCUGGGAAAAUAUGAGCCAACCCUUUCUCUAGCUUGUUUUAGGUGCUGCAGACAAAGGCACUAAAUAUUUUUGGUGGAUUUACUUCUGUUACUAUGCUCUAGCUCAGCAUUUGUCCUCCGGAUAAGCUAUAAAAUUAAGGUCCUAAUUGUAGUUUGGUGCUAAGAAUCCCCCCUGAAGCUGGUCAGUCUCAAGGGCAAAUGGGUGCUUUGAAUGUUCAAGCAAGGUGCCUAAGUGCCUUCUGUGUUCCCGGAGCUGUGCUAAGAGUUGGGGGUACAGAGAUGAGCAAGGCACCUUUGCUUCCCUCGAUGAAGCUAUAGACAGGCCCGUAAACAGAUCAUGUCCGUAAGACAUUCCGUCUCUUAAGACAGAUGGAAUCAGAUGGGUAGGGCUGGGUGGCAGAGGUAGUCGUGCACUCUGGAUUUUGAACAAGUGCACUGGGUAAUUUUUCUGCUCUUAGGUUUUGGCAUCACUGCUCAAAUGGGUGGGAAGGGAUUGUCAUUCAGUUCUGAUUACUUCUCACAGAAGAAUUACACACACGUUUUUCACUUGAGAUGAUGAACGUUUAAGCUCUAAAACAAUUCCCAGCUAUAAAAAUAUUGCUAGUUAUUACUUAAUUUUGACUAUGCUCCACAUAUUGAGUAACAGGCUUUACUUUCCAUAGGGAUUGAUUGCUCCAACAAUUUCAUGACAAUCUAUGCUAUUACCCCAUUUCACAGGUGAUGAUUCAUGAUGUUAAGUAACUUCCUAGU